AUUGAACGCUGGCGGCAGGCCUAACACAUGCAAGUCGAGCGAGCGGCGGACGGGAGAGUAAUGUAUGGAGAUCUGCCCGAUAGAGAGGGCUAACUACUGUAAACGUUGGCUAAUACCGCAUCCUAACUGAUAGACACAUAGGGGCUUAGCUAUUAGGUGGGGUAAAGGCACACCUAGGCCACGAUCUCUAGCUGGUCGGAGAGGAUGAUCAGCCACACUGGGACGGAGAAACGGCGCAGAACACUACGGGAGGCAGCAGUGGGGAAGAUUGCACAAUGGGAGCAAGCAUGAUGGAGCCAUGCCGCGUGUAUGAAGAAGGCCUUAGGGUUGUAAAGUACGUUCAGCGGGGAGGCGGUACCCGACGAAAAAGCAACGGCUAACUCCGUGCCAGCAGCCGCGGUAAUUC
RNAcentral lists this ribosomal RNA (406 nucleotides) under uncultured bacterium. RNAcentral's name for it is "partial 16S ribosomal RNA". It matches the Rfam family "Bacterial small subunit ribosomal RNA", at positions 29 to 526 of the family's 1533-position model. The record is from RNAcentral.